AAUGAUUGUUGCGUGUUUCUUGGGAGGGUUAGUUGUUUCUUUCUUUGAUAGAUAGUGGAAAGGUUGGCUGUUUCUUGUGAUGCUCCCGUUUUGUACAAUUUUCUGGUAACAAUGAUACACAAUAUAAUUUCCUUUGGAUGCAAUAACCUUUCCUUCCUUUGGAUUUUGUAUUUCAGCAACUUUCACAUUUUAAUCUAACAUAGUGGAAAGGUUAGCUGUUUCUUGUGAUGCUCCUGUUUUGUACAAUUUUCUGGUAACAAUGAUACACAAUAUAAUUUCCUUUGGAUGCAAUAACCUUUCCUUCCUUUGGAUUUUGUAUUCCAGCAACUUUCACAUUUUAAUCUAACAGACAGUUGUUUCAUAAACGUAUUGAAUAUUAUUGCCUAGACAUACAGAUACUAAGCUCAUAGUGCAAGUGCGGAAUUGAAUGAUAAGUUUAUUUGAAUGUUGAUUCAUUUAUCUGAUAACUGGCUUAUUUGUAUUAACAACCUCUUGUAUCUGGAGCUGCUCUAGGACUAGAAGGGCAAGUACCAUUUGUUGACAACAUUCAUCAUACCCAGAGCUCUUUUGUUUCCC
Molecule: long non-coding RNA, 576 nt
Filed under: Capsicum annuum
Lineage: Eukaryota; Viridiplantae; Streptophyta; Magnoliopsida; Solanales; Solanaceae
Description: long non-coding RNA (CANN_LNC008246)
Source: RNAcentral